RNAcentral lists this long non-coding RNA (784 nucleotides) under Pogona vitticeps (central bearded dragon). Its description in RNAcentral is "lncRNA (ENSPVIG00000019144.1)". Lineage: Eukaryota; Metazoa; Chordata; Lepidosauria; Squamata; Agamidae. The record is from RNAcentral.
GGAAAACAUCUCCAGAGAAGCAAAGCAAAGGCGCCACUAAAUCCCAGAGAGGUUCCCGUCCCUCCAUCACAUGUAUUUCUUAGUGGUGUGACCUCAUUACUCCAAUUGCUUCCUUUGACUUAGAAACAGUAUUGUCACAAUUGUACACAAGACAGAGCUUUUUCAGUGUUGGUCCCUAGUUUGACGAACUUUCUUUCAGUGUUGGCCUAUUAGACUCCAUCAUGCUGGGGACUCAUGUGAUAAGUAAUGAAGGCUUUUUUCAAAAGAUGUUGAGGAUGGCAGAAAAAUCCUUGCUCUGAACCACAGGGUUCCUGCUUUAUGGAGGUAAAGACCUAAAUGUGAAUGUGUAUGAACUGAACACCUGCUAAAAUGCCAGAAUCUGCAAAUGCUUUUCAUUAUUGGAUUAGGAUUUGAAAUGGUUUGGGAUGUCAUGCAUAGCCCACCUAUUCUGGAGUUGUUCCAUGACAGCCCAUGGCACUACUUUAAGAAAGUGAACGUCCUUCACUGCUUUCAUUUCCUGACUAAAUACUACCACAGACGUGAUGGGAAAUACAGUUAUGUGAGCGAGCAAGACAAACGCACAAGUGUUCACUCAGCAGCAGCAAGAGUGAAGCGACCCACAGGCAUGGAGAUCUCACUAUCCUGACAGCGCCCUUCCAAAAGUUCAAAUACCUUGAAGACUUCAGAACAAGGGUCUACUUUUCCUGCCUUUCUUCAUGACAUUCUGCAGAAGACAAAAACAGCCAUGAAUAGAAAUAAAAGUCUAGGUCUUCUAUUUCUAUCA